Molecule: long non-coding RNA, 1878 nt
Filed under: Macaca fascicularis (crab-eating macaque)
Lineage: Eukaryota; Metazoa; Chordata; Mammalia; Primates; Cercopithecidae
Description: lncRNA (ENSMFAG00000065621.1)
Source: RNAcentral
UUUUUUUUUUUUUUGAGACAGAGUCUCGCUCUGUUGUCCAGGUUGGAGUGCAGUGGCACGAUCUCGGCUCACUGAAAGCUCCACCUCCUGGGUUCAUGCCAUUCUCCUGCCUCAGCCUCCUGAGUAGCUGGGACUACAGGCACCCACCAGCAAGCCCGGCUAAUUUUUUGUAUUUUUAGUAGAUAUGGGGUUUCACCAUGUUAGCCGGGGUGCUCUCUAUUUCCUGACCUCAUGAUCCGCCCGUCUCAGCCUCCCAAAGUGCUGGGAUUACAGGAGUGAGCCACCGCGCCCAGCUGAGAAUAUUAAUUUUAUAUAAUACCAAUGUGCAAUGCAGAUCAUUCAAUAAGAAAUCUUUGCUACAAUUUGAUAACUUGAUUAUCUAAAAUUGUCAACUGUGUCUCUGACUGACCUGUAAAAAUUUAAAUAUCUGAACAUUUUUCUAUAGUUUUAUGUAAUAACUGUAAGCCAAAUUUGAAAAGAAAUCACAGAAUAUAUUUUAAAAUCCAGUUCCCAUCUGGUGUCUCACAGCUUGAGUUUUCUUUCAAGGUGAUUUUUAAAAUUGUAUGUCACGUAGAGAUGUCAGUAAGCAAUGAUGCAUAACCAUGUGUGGACUAAUUUAUGCCACAAGCACUCAUUUGAAGAAGGAAGAGAGAAAUGAAACUUGGUUAUGUUUACUUGUUACAGAAUCACAGAAUCAAGUACUGUAUUGACAACAAAUGUUCAUAGAGUUCAUAAAGUCAAAAAAAAAAAAAACUCUUUUAACAUUUAAUGGGGAUAUAGUCACAAAACUUGUAUGCUAGAAAUCUUUAUUUUUAGAACUUUUAGAAAUGUAUAAUAACAUGGAAAAUGAAAAAAAUUGCUAAAUCAGCUACAAAAUUCAGAAAUGUUGGUUUUCUCAUGAUCUUUUUUAAUCGCUGUUUUUCUUCAUUAUUUAACUCACCAACACAUAUAUAUGUAUGCACAUAUACAUGUGUAUGUGUACACAAUGAUACAUUCAUUGAAUCAUUUCAUUAUCUUUAUUUUCAGAAACAAAUAUAAGAAUCAUCACAGAAGCAACAUGGUAGAUUAGGAAGCCCUGCACCUUCCUUCCCCAUCCGUCCCCCUACAAAUGUAUUGAUUCGGCAACAAUCACUGACAAAUUCCCUUUGCCAAAAAUCAGGAACUAAUAAAAAGAGUCAGGUCUGGUGGUCAAGGAACAACCCACUUCAACCCUGUAAAGCUGCAGUAGCUGAAUGCGCACUAAGUCCUGGACGUUGGGUAUAACCUGAACUACCACUCCACAUUCUCAUUCUAGCUGUGAUAAAGAUUUUUACCUAACCUAAAAAUGGGAAAUAAGCAAGGCAAAUGCCCUGACUAUUGGCAAACUCCUGGUCAGAUAAAUCUUUUCUUUCUACAACAUAGUUAAAGAAAAAUAAAACCCUAAUAAUUCACUGUUGAAAACUUACUGAAAGGCAUGGAAAAUAGUUUCCUAUUGUUUCAAAGAAACUCUUAACUGGGAAAAGGUUCUUUGCUAAAAACAGGACAACUGUUCAAAAUCUCUUUGACAUUCUUAACAUGGAGGCAAUACUCAUAUUCAUGAAAGAUAAUCAAGGGCACAAGAAAAGGGGAGCUGAUAUUUAAGUAUCAAUGUGUAUGAACACAUAUACCAAAGAAAAAAUGGGUUGACAAAAUUAAACCCUAACUACAGAACUCACCUUUUAGUGAAGCAUAUUACUGGCAUAGAAAAAAAAGUUAAGGGAUUCUACUCAAAAUUCAAAAUGCAGUAAUGGAAAUAUGCAAAGGAUAAGAAAGUAAAAGAUAUGGGGGACAUAAAAGAACUUUAAAAUUAAAUAAUUUUGUCUAAAAAUAAGAGAUCAGAAAAAUAACAGUAGAGAAGCA